RNAcentral lists this ribosomal RNA (429 nucleotides) under Bacteroidota bacterium. RNAcentral describes it as "Bacteroidetes bacterium partial 16S ribosomal RNA". It matches the Rfam family "Bacterial small subunit ribosomal RNA", at positions 355 to 776 of the family's 1533-position model. Lineage: Bacteria; Pseudomonadati; Bacteroidota. The record is from RNAcentral.
UAGGGAAUCUUCCGCAAUGGACGCAAGUCUGACGGAGCAACGCCGCGUGAGUGAAGAAGGAUUUCGGUUCGUAAAACUCUGUUGUUAGAGAAGAACAGCGCAUAGAGUAACUGUUAUGCGUGUGACGGUAUCUAACCAGAAAGCCACGGCUAACUACGUGCCAGCAGCCGCGGUAAUACGUAGGUGGCAAGCGUUGUCCGGAUUUAUUGGGCGUAAAGCGAGCGCAGGCGGUCAAUUAAGUCUGAUGUGAAAGCCCCCGGCUCAACCGGGGAGGGUCAUUGGAAACUGGUUGACUUGAGUGCAGAAGAGGAGAGUGGAAUUCCAUGUGUAGCGGUGAAAUGCGUAGAUAUAUGGGGGAACACCAGUGGCGAAUGCGACUCUCUGGUCUGUAACUGACGCUGAGGCUCGAAAGCGUGGGUAGCAAACAGG